UCAGCAGCUCUGGGAGCGAAGCCCUUUUACUGAACAGGGGACGCAUAGCAAGUACAGUGUGUCCCUGGCAUUGCCCUGCAAAGGUCCUUCAAUUCUGCCCUAGAGGGACCACCUCUGAGGGUGAUAGGCUGUUCAGCCUCCAUCAGCCUCUCUGCUGAGCGUGCCAUU
Molecule: small RNA, 168 nt
Filed under: Chrysemys picta bellii (western painted turtle)
Lineage: Eukaryota; Metazoa; Chordata; Testudines; Emydidae
Description: TUC338 (ENSCPBG00000019288.1)
Source: RNAcentral